RNAcentral lists this ribosomal RNA (433 nucleotides) under uncultured bacterium. RNAcentral describes it as "partial 16S ribosomal RNA". It matches the Rfam family "Bacterial small subunit ribosomal RNA", at positions 29 to 507 of the family's 1533-position model. The record is from RNAcentral.
AACGAACGCUGGCGGCAUGCCUAACACAUGCAAGUCGAACGAGGCCUUCGGGUCUAGUGGCGCACGGGUGCGUAACGCGUGGGAACCUGCCCUUAGGUUCGGAAUAACUCCCCGAAAGGGGUGCUAAUACCGGAUAAUGUCUUCGGACCAAAGAUUUAUCGCCUUUGGAUGGGCCCGCGUUGGAUUAGCUAGUUGGUAGGGUAAAAGCCUACCAAGGCGACGAUCCAUAGCUGGUCUGAGAGGAUGAUCAGCCACACUGGGACUGAGACACGGCCCAGACUCCUACGGGAGGCAGCAGUGGGGAAUAUUGGACAAUGGGCGGAAGCCUGAUCCAGCAAUGCCGCGUGAGUGAUGAAGGCCUUAGGGUUGUAAAGCUCUUUUACCCGGGAUGAUAAUGACAGUACCGGGAGAAUAAGCUCCGGCUAACUCCGUG